RNAcentral lists this ribosomal RNA (242 nucleotides) under uncultured bacterium. RNAcentral's name for it is "partial 16S ribosomal RNA". It matches the Rfam family "Bacterial small subunit ribosomal RNA", at positions 333 to 572 of the family's 1533-position model. The record is from RNAcentral.
CAAGGCCUACGGGAGGCAGCAGUGAGGAAUAUUGGUCAAUGGGCGAGAGCCUGAACCAGCCAAGUCGCGUGAGGAAAGACGGUGCUAUGGAUUGUAAACCUCUUUUGCCGGGGAGCAAAAAGCGGUACGUGUACCGCAUCGAGAGUACCCGGAGAAAAAGCAUCGGCUAACUCCGUGCCAGCAGCCGCGGUAAUACGGAGGAUGCGAUCGUUAUCCGGAUUUAUUGGGUUUAAAGGGUGCGC